GUUAAUAUUCCUUCGGAAUAGAGCAACAAAGAAUGAGCGAGCGAGAUGUCACUAUCUGCAACCCUGUGUGAUAAAAAGAGAUGUGUGAUGCUAUCAUCGUCACGUCAAUAGAACCAUUUUUGCAAAAGAUUUGACAGGCAGUGACACAUAGAGGCACAAAGCAGAAUUUCAAAUCACAGUUUUUUCUAAAAAUUUCGUAAAAUCCUGUAUAGUUUUGGAAUUUUUUUAUUGUAAUACAAUGGUGACCUGUUCCGUCCUUGAUUGUGAUGUAAACCAGAGAAAUAAUCCCGCAAAAUAUUCAUUUCACAGAUUUCCGACUAACGAAGAUGUAAGAAAAACAUGGCUCAAAUUAAUUAAUCGUCCAAAUUGGAUUCCAACUAAAUAUGCCACUUUAUGUAGCAAACAUUUUGAUAGUAAAUGUUUUCGAAAAAUUGGAGCCAGAAUCACGUUGAAAAAAUGUGCAAUCCCUACAGAGUUUGUUCCGAUGAAAGUAAAGCCUACACGCACAAUGUCGUCGUACGUGAACAGAGAUAUUUUACCAGAGGGAUCUACAUUAUCGUCUAGAUCUCCGCCGCCGACACCACAGCUUCAGCCCACACCAGAGGGAUCUACAUUAUCGUCUAGAUCUCCGCCGCCGACACCACAGCUUCAGCCCACACCAUCGACCUCUUUCCAAAAACUUAAAUCUAAAUGCGCAAAAUUGCAAGAAAAAAUAAAAAAGAAAACGCAACUCAUUAGAAACUUAAGAUCACAAAAUAAACGAACUAAAAUUAAAGUUGUAACCUUAGCAUCUUUUUUUCGUAAGAAAUUGUAACAAAAUAUUGCGCUAUUUUUUUAUUGCGCUGAUUCUGCUGCACACUGAUGUCUGGAUCCUUUAAUGGAUGGUAUUGUUUGUUUACACAUACAAUGUCAUUAUUUUGUUGCAAUUUCUUACAAAACUUGCGCGCAAACAGCAAAUCUAGUAUGAAAAUCAUCAAACUUCUGAUGCUCGUAACUCAUUUCAGGCUGAGUUUAGAGGUAUACAGUCAUGUCAUAGUAAGUUUGGUUUAUUACACUAUUUUGUAAUCAAAAACCAAGGUUUGGUCGAUGGCCGCGCGAAAAAAAAAAGACGCCAAUUUCCGGCAUUGUCUUUUAUUAUUACAUCGCAUUCGUUAGAAUCCUAUUUUUUACAUUAUCGUCAGAAUUAUCAUUUUUAAUUAUUGACUUACUCUUACUAAUUAGAAAUCAGAAAGUUUGUAUGGAUGUCUUGAUGUUUGUUGCUCUUUCAA
Molecule: long non-coding RNA, 1268 nt
Organism: Ostrinia nubilalis (European corn borer)
Lineage: Eukaryota; Metazoa; Arthropoda; Insecta; Lepidoptera; Crambidae
Exons: 3
Source: RefSeq, a predicted model, not a curated record